RNAcentral lists this ribosomal RNA (484 nucleotides) under uncultured bacterium. Its description in RNAcentral is "partial 16S ribosomal RNA". It matches the Rfam family "Bacterial small subunit ribosomal RNA", at positions 29 to 507 of the family's 1533-position model. The record is from RNAcentral.
AGUGAACGCUGGCGGCAGGCCUAACACAUGCCAGUCGAGCGGCAGCGCGGGGGCAACCCUGGCGGCGAGCGGCGGACGGGUGAGGAAUUCGUCGGAAUCUGCCUUUUUGUGGGGGAUAACGUAGGGAAACUUACGCUAAUACCGCAUACGUCCUACGGGAGAAAGUGGGGGACCGCAAGGCCUCACGCAGAAAGAUGAGCCGACGACCGAUUAGCUAGUUGGUGGGGUAAAGGCCCACCAAGGCGACGAUCGGUAGCUGGUCUGAGAGGAUGAUCAGCCACACUGGGACUGAGACACGGCCCAGACUCCUACGGGAGGCAGCAGUGGGGAAUAUUGGACAAUGGGUGCAAGCCUGAUCCAGCCAUGCCGCGUGUGUGAAGAAGGCCUUCGGGUUGUAAAGCACUUUUGUCCGGAAAGAAAUCCCUGGAGCUAAUACCUUCGGGGGAUGACGGUACCGGAAGAAUAAGCACCGGCUAACUUCGUG